This 433-nucleotide ribosomal RNA is filed under the name uncultured bacterium. RNAcentral describes it as "partial 16S ribosomal RNA". It matches the Rfam family "Bacterial small subunit ribosomal RNA", at positions 29 to 507 of the family's 1533-position model. The record is from RNAcentral.
AGCGAACGCUGGCGGCAGGCUUAACACAUGCAAGUCGAGCGGGCACUUCGGUGUCAGCGGCAGACGGGUGAGUAACACGUGGGAACGUACCCUUCGGUUCGGAAUAACGCCGGGAAACUAGCGCUAAUACCGGAUACGCCCUUGUGGGGAAAGGUUUACUGCCGAAGGAUCGGCCCGCGUCUGAUUAGCUAGUUGGUGGAGUAAUGGCCUACCAAGGCGACGAUCAGUAGCUGGUCUGAGAGGAUGAUCAGCCACACUGGGACUGAGACACGGCCCAGACUCCUACGGGAGGCAGCAGUGGGGAAUAUUGGACACUGGGCGCAAGCCUGAUCCAGCCAUGCCGCGUGAGUGAUGAAGGCCUUAGGGUUGUAAAGCUCUUUUGUCCGGGACGAUAAUGACGGUACCGGAAGAAUAAGCCCCGGCUAACUUCGUG